This 253-nucleotide ribosomal RNA is filed under the name uncultured bacterium. RNAcentral describes it as "partial 16S ribosomal RNA". It matches the Rfam family "Bacterial small subunit ribosomal RNA", at positions 524 to 776 of the family's 1533-position model. The record is from RNAcentral.
UACGGAGGGGGCUAGCGUUGUUCGGAAUCAUUGGGCGUAAAGGGCGCGUAGGCGGCCGAUCAAGUCUGAUGUGAAAGCCCGGGGCUCACCCCCGGAAGUGCAUUGGAAACUGGUGGACUCGAGUCCCGGAGAGGAGAGUGGAAUUCCUGGUGUAGCGGUGAAAUGCGUAGAUAUCAGGAGGAACACCGGUGGCGAAGGCGGCUCUCUGGACGGUGACUGACGCUGAGACGCGAAAGCGUGGGGAGCAAACAGG